This 119-nucleotide ribosomal RNA is filed under the name Pteropus alecto (black flying fox). Lineage: Eukaryota; Metazoa; Chordata; Mammalia; Chiroptera; Pteropodidae. The record is from RNAcentral.
AUCUACAGCCAUGCCACCCUUAACAAGCCCAACCCCAUCUGAUCUCGGAAGCUAAGCAGGGUCAGACCUGGUUUGUACUUGGAUGGGAGACCACCUAGGAAGACUAGGUGCUGUAAGCU